RNAcentral lists this unclassified non-coding RNA (434 nucleotides) under soil metagenome. RNAcentral's name for it is "partial contains 5.8S ribosomal RNA, internal transcribed spacer 2, and large subunit ribosomal RNA". The stretch from base 1 to 121 matches the Rfam family "5.8S ribosomal RNA", at positions 35 to 154 of the family's 154-position model. The record is from RNAcentral.
GAUGAAGAACGGCAGCGAAAUGCGAUACGUAAUGUGAAUUGCAGAAUUCAGUGAAUCAUCGAAUCUUUGAACGCAUAUUGCGCUCUCUAGUAUUCCGGAGAGCAUGCUUGUUUGAGUAUCAGUAAACACCUCAACUCCCUUUUCUUUUUUGAAAUGGGAGCUGGACUUGAGUGAUCCCAACACUUUUCUCACUGGAAAGUGGCGGGUCACUUGAAAUGCAGGUGCAGCUGGACUUUUCUCUGAGCUAUAAGCAUAUCUAUUUAGUCUGCCUAAAAAACAGAUUAUUACCUUUGCUGCAGCUAACAUAAAGGAGAUGAGUUCUUGUGCUGACUGAUGCAGGAUUCACAGAGACAGCUUUGCGGCUGACUUUGUAAACUCGAUCUCAAAUCAAGUAAGACUACCCGCUGAACUUAAGCAUAUCAAUAAGCGGAGGA